CGAGCCUUAGCCAAAGCCACCAACUACAAGUUGCCGGGAAAGAAGCUCUCUCCGCCCCCUUCUCUCUCUCCCCUUCAAAACCGGCAGCGUAUCUCGCUCUCUCCUAAAAAGCAGUCUCUCUCUCUCUCCUUUUGUCUAUGAUCUACCUCAUCGUCACCACUUCUAUAAAUGGCUCCUUAAUCUUAUCUCGCUAAAUUUUUUGCCCUUGUUUUCAUCACUAAAAACCCUAGUUUCUCUGCAACUCAGUGAAGCUCCAGUUCUCGGCAUCUGAGCUUAAAAAAUCCCCUUAUUUUUCCUCUGUUCUAAGGUUUUUGGCCCCCGAUAUUGUUCAGCAAGCAACUCUAAUCUCUGCAGCAAGAGUCAUACAAGAGGACCCUGAAUUUGGAUGCUCUGAUUUGAGAUUAGGUCAUGGAGAGGACGGUGGGUGAGAAGUUCAGGUUAGGUCGGAAAAUUGGGAGUGGAUCUUUUGGAGAAAUAUAUCUUGCUACUCAUGUUGAUACAAAUGAGGUCGUGGCCGUGAAGCUUGAGAGUGGGAAGACAAAGCAUCCACAACUGCUUUAUGAGGCCAAGCUAUAUAAAAUUCUACAAGGAGGAAGUGGUAUUGCAAAUAUACGAUGGAGUGGGCUUGAUGGAGAGUACAAUGUCUUAGUGCUUGAUUUGCUUGGACCAAGUCUUGAAGACUUGUUUGUCUACUGUGGUAGGAAAUUCUCGUUGAAGACGGUCUUAAUGCUCGCCGAUCAGAUGAUAACUAGAAUAGAGUACGUUCACUCCAAAGGAUUUUUGCAUAGGGACAUCAAGCCAGAUAAUUUCCUAAUGGGUCUUGGUAAGAAAGCAAACCAGGUCUACGUCAUUGACUUUGGACUUGCAAAACGAUACCGGGACUCCACAACCAAUCGCCAUAUUCCUUACAGGGAGGACAAAAAUCUGACUGGUACUGCACGUUAUGCAAGUUGCAACACUCAUUUGGGCAUUGAACAAAGCCGCAGGGAUGACUUGGAGUCUCUUGGAUAUGUUCUUCUAUAUUUCCUAAGAGGAAGCCUUCCAUGGCAGGGUUUGAAGGCUGCAACAAAGAAACAAAAAUAUGAAAAAAUAUGUGAGAAGAAGUUGUCCACCCCAAUUGAGGUCUUAUGCAAGUCUCAUCCCGUGGAAUUUGCAUCCUACCUACAUUACUGCCAUUCUUUGACAUUCGAUCAACGGCCUGAUUAUGGCUUCUUGAAGCGGCUAUUUCGUGACUUAUUUUCACGUGAAGGAUAUCAGUUUGAUUAUAUAUUCGAUUGGACCAUCCUCAAAUACCAACAAGCCCAGAGAACGAAGACUCAUCAGCGAUCAUCUCCAAUAUCUGGAGGGAAUAGCAGCCGAGCUGUGCCGCUGGAUGCCGGCAAUCAUAUAGGGGAUAAUAAUGUUUCUAAUCUUGCUGAGGUGGCUGAUCGAUUUGGUACAAGUAAUGGUGCUCGUCCUGCGAUUCGGAUGCAAUUUAAACCAUCGAAUGAUAGAACUUUCGGCAUUGAGAAUGCUCAUCUAGAGAAGACUAGAGUGGGAGCUCUGGUUGACAAAGGACCCAUGCCUUCUACAUCAUUUGCUCCACCAAGUACGUCAAAGAGAAAUUUUAUGAGUAUAAAACCUGUGAAGCCAACUGAAAUUUCCAAUUCGGUUCGUGCAAUAGGUGGCAAUAGUGGUCCUUCAAGCAGCUGGCUUCCUUCAUUGCAACGCACUUCCUCUUCAAAAAGAAUGGAGUGAAUAUAUGAAGAAAAGAAGAAUAUAAAGGGUUUCAAAUUCUCUUGCUGUGAAGUACCUGCAAAUUUGUCACUUCAAAGGGCCCCACUUUGUGGAUAUCAACGAGCAUACUCUCUUUCUCUUAAGUAGUGUUUCAGGUACCGGGCCUUGCAUGCUUUUCUAUGUAUUGGACAUCCUUCAGGUUUAUCUGUGCUUCUCUUUAUGAGAACAUGAUGUUGCGUGAGAACCACAGAAGGAAAAAGAGAAGCAUAAGGCCUGCAUUCUUUAUGACCAGCCCAAGAAAGUGAGAAAAAGAAGGAACUCUUAACAAGGUCUCUCCAAUUGGUAUAACCACUUGGUUUCCCCACUUGCAGUCCAUGGAGUUCAAUCGUUUCUAACUUCACAGGUAUUGAAUAUGCUAAUUUUUUUUCGAUAGCUGACUUCAUUCAUAGGUAUAAAACUUGCAUGGAGUCUUUGUUUUUCUUAUUUAGCAGCUUUCAAUGAUCUUUGAGUAGCCCUUUCAACCUGCCAACCUAGGUCGCGAGCCGAGGUGCUUGACUUGUAAAGAGAAUCAAGCUUGAGUAAUAUGUUCUGGUGUGGCAUUCCUAGCCAAGCUGCACCCACUAGCUUGAUAAUUAGACAUGCCAAGAUCAAGCAUAAAAAAGUUUGGCUUAAGCUUGUCUACUAUAUUAUACAUAUAAUAUACUUGUCUAUUUUAUUAUAUGCAUAGUAUAUAUAAAGGAAACAAUACAUAUUAUGGUAUAUGGACCUCACCUCAAAAGGGAAAAUCAUCUCAAGCUAUCCUAUUUACCAUAUAGAUAUGUAUUCCAUGUAGCCGAGUUUGUUCUGAGCUUGUUUCUUAACAAGCCAACCCAAGGCCAAGGUCAAACCUUCCCUUGAUCUAGCUGAGCUUAGUCUUGGUGAUUGAGGCUCCAGUCAAGAUCAAGCUGGUCCUUCACCCAAUGGAAGCGUGGCUUGCACAUGCUGAAGCUCACCAUGGCUCUGCUGGUUGGCUCCCCUUUCUUUAAAAUUUUUGAUAUUUGUAAUUUGAGCUGUAUUUCCCCCCCUUAAUGUUUUUAGGGUGUGGUUUAAGAAGUUAGUCCAAGUUGACUUGAGUGGCUGGUUCAAGUCAGUUUGUCCUUUUGGGAGUCCAAUUUAUUUAAGGAAAAGUAUAUAAAGAGACCAUUUAUUUUUGGUAAAAAGAAGUUACAAGUACUCUUGUCCGUCAGAUUUCAAAUCGGGUGGUUGUAAGAGUGCAAAUUACUUAGGUUCAAAGGUCAAAAGAAAAAUUUAUCGAAUUUUAUAAAGCACUUCAAGCCAUUCAAUUUCACAUCUAAUGGUUACGAGUAAUUGCAACCUCUUUGUAAUAAAAGUAAAUGGUCUCUUAGUAUACAAUCCCUUUAUUUAAUAUCAGUCACACAAUAUGCAUAAUUGAUAGGGUGGUCAAAUAUUGUGUUGAUGAUAUGAAGCACAAUAAAUUGUUUAUAAAGAUAUCUAGGAAAUCAUUGUAGACUAGCAUCUUUUGGAUAGUUUUCCACCAAAAUAACUAAAAAAAGGAGCAAUGCCACCAACUCGACUUAUUGACUCAAGUUUUUUUUCUUGAGUCCAAUUUUGAACUUGUUAUGCCUUGAUUCAGAGAGUUAAUGGUGUUGUGGAUGCAUUUGUACCUUGAUUGUGUUCUUUGCACUUGAUGAAAAUAUCUUCAUGGAACCUACUUUAAGUUUCAUUUCUCCAUGAAUCUAAAGUUUGAAAACCUAUCUUUUUUAAUAAAGAUUCUUAUUAAUUAUAUCUUCCAGCCCCUGAUACCAAUUUUAUCCAAUUUUUUAACCUAAACAAAUUUGUAAAUGACAUCCUCUUCUAAACUCCCGUCUCUCUCUACAUGUUUCUCUUCUCUCUCUAUAUACGUUUCUCUCACUGGGACCCAGCGUUCACCAUGGUCUCCGAGUUUUUGAAGAAUAAAAAAACACCAUAUCCUCCCUCUGAUCUGUUACGUUUGAACACAUAUUUUCUAUUGGAACCAUGUUUACAGUUGUCAACCAAGCUCCCAAACCAGAUUCUAACACUUCUUUAUCACAUGGUUCUUAAUUAAAAUAUCUUUUGUAAACUUAGAGUUAACACCCUCUAUCUUCAUUGGAUCAAAAGCUCUAAUAUGUUGUUAUAACAAUUCAGAAUCAACGACUGGAUACCCCCUCAUUGCAAAAUUAUACGAGAGCCCCCAACCCUCACCCAAUAAAACAUAAUUUUGAAUAUUCGACCUCUCAAAAUAAUACAGUAAAUUCAUUGCAUUUGCCUUAGAAAUCCUAUAACUAUUACAGUCCUAUGAUUCUGAAAAUUGAGGAAAGAAGACAAUUUGGGAGAAAGAUAGAAAGGGAAAAGAAGCUCUUCAGAAAAUUUGGAGCACAACUAUUAUGGUCCUCUCAUUUUGAAAGUUGGGGAAAGCCGACAAUUUGGGAGAAAGAUAGAAAGAGAAAGAGGCUGUUCUAAAAAUGGGAGAGAGGGAUUUUGGAAAUGAAAAGAAGACAAUUUGGAGAGAACGGUAGAAAGAGAAAGAGGCUCUUGUCAAAAUAGAGAGAGAGGCUCUUCCAUAGAGAACCAGAAAGAACCCUUGGCCAUGGUGGAGCUGCCUCUGACCAUAUCCAACAGCUCUGUUGACCCCUCAUCCACGAAGAAGAAUCUUAGCCGUUGGUCCUCCUCCAUCCCUACCCCUCAAUGACUGAUUCCUGGACUCAGUGUCUGGCAAGUACUUCAAACUUUCGCAGCAGAGCUCCACCCCCGUAAUCGAGCUCCAUGCAAGGACAUAGAGAGAAAUAAAAGCAAAAUAGAGAGAGAGAGUAGGGAAAAUACAGAGAAAGAGAGAGGGUGGUUUUGUUAGAUCACGGGGACAUAGAAUAAAGUAAUAAAUUAUAUACCUAAAAACCAGAAAUAAUCCUCAUUGGUUUCUCAUAACCAACUAUCUGAUCCAAAUCUGGUGUCCAGCUUUCCAAGCUAGUUAGAGAGAGAAAGAGGGAGAGUGAUUUCUCUCUCCUCCACAAAAAUGUGGCAGGGGAAGUAGAAAGGCCUCUGAUUCAAACAAGCCGCAGUUCAUGCUUCACUUCUUUUUCUCCUUUCAGUUGCUUUCUGUCUCUUUAAUGGGAGCCCAUGCUAUGUCCGAGCGUGCAAUCAAUUCUUAUGGGGAAGAGAGAGGGUGAGAGACACAGGGGAGAGAGAGAAUGCGAAAAUAGGGAGAGAGAGAUUUAGUUAUGGGGAAGAGAGAGAGACACGGGGGAGAGAAUGCAAAAAUAGGGAGAGUAGUUACGAGGAGGAGAGAAAUUGAGAGACGCGGAGGAGAGAGAAGGGGAAAAUAGAGAGAGAUUUAGGAGAAAUCACUUGACGAGAGAGAAAUGAUAGGUUUUUUUUUACAUUUGUUUGGGGUAAAUAAAUAGGUUUAAAGGAGAUAAAGUUAGCUUAGAGGGUUAAAAGAUGCAAAACUUAGAAUUGUUAUGAUCCAAGAUAUGUUUUGAAACUUUAGGUUUAUUGAGAUAUAAAACUUAAAAAAAGAAGGUAUGGAGAUAUUUUCUCUUCUUUAUAUCUAACGGCACUCAUGUCUCUGAAAAUGCAUUGGUUACUGUAGCUGUCAAUUUCUUCCUAUGCCUGUUGACUAUAAUGAAAUAGAAGCGAGGUUUACCAUUUUCUUUUGGGAAUUGUCGACUCAUGGACUGUAUUUAUUGUGCAUAUAUGCUUUGAUAUAACUGUACUGGAACUCCCACAAAAUCUGCAAGGAAAAUUUUGAAUGAGCGCGUGUGCAGUGCUUCUGCUGGAGCAGAAGGUAAUUCUUGCUCCUUCUCUUCAUGUGAAAGUCUGGGAUCUGCUUUAGUGUCACUAAGGGUCAUGUGAAAGUUUGGGAUCUACUUUAGGUCACUAAGGGCGUGUUUGAUAAGUAGAAGUUUCUGGAAGUGGAUAUUAAAUGUCCCAUUUCAUGUUUGAUGUUACGGAAAGCUGUAAAGUGGAAAGGUGACUUUCCAUGCAUCUGUUUUUUCAGUGUUAAAAUGGGUUCAUUUUUGGAAGACCUAUCUUCCAUAAAAAAUAAUGAAAAAGCAGUCUUUCAUAAUUUGUGGGAGAGUCCUUUCCACUUCCAAAAACUCCAUACGUCAAACACACUCUAGAGUAUUUUCUAAACCACCCCCCUCUAACAAAAAAAAAGAAAAAAAAACGAAGGAAAAAGAAGAAAUUUAUUGAGUUCCUUGAUUUCUAAAAAAUAGAACACCUAGAUCUGAGUUUUGGAUGGUUUUGAGGUCAAUCGUAAGAUGUGAUUUGUUCACGCACUUUCAUAGUAUAUUGAAUUACAUCCCUAUAAUUUUGGGUCCUAAAAGUAUUCCUAACUGGUUUUUUGGAGGGAGUAAUUGUUUAAAAGCUAUUAUUUGUACUGGGAGUUGAGCGUUUAUAUUUCUUUUAAUGUGUCUGCUCAUAUUGUAUGAAAAGCUAUUAUUUGUACUGGGAAUUGUGCGUUUAUAUUUUUUUUAAUGUGUGCUCAUGUUGUAUGCAUUCUUUUUAAGUUUUUCUGGACACGUUGUCAUU
Molecule: RNA transcript, 6267 nt
Organism: Amborella trichopoda
Lineage: Eukaryota; Viridiplantae; Streptophyta; Magnoliopsida; Amborellales; Amborellaceae
Gene: CKL4
Gene name: casein kinase I-like 4
Source: RefSeq, a predicted model, not a curated record